UCCGCAAUGGACGAAAAGUCUGACGGAGCGACGCCGCGUGGGUGAAGAAGGCCUUCGGGUUGUAAAGCCCUGUCAUUAGGGACGAAUGGCAGGAAGAGUAAUAUGCUUUCUGAUUGACGGUACCUAAGGAGGAAGCCCCGGCUAACUAUGUGCCAGCAGCCGCGGUAAUACAUAGGGGGCGAGCGUUGUCCGGAAUCAUUGGGCGUAAAGGGCGCGUAGGCGGGAAUAUAAGUCUGUUUUUAAAGUUCAGGGCUCAACCCUGUGAUGGAAUGGAAACUGUAUUUCUUGAGGGCAGGAGAGGAAAGUGGAAUUCCUAGUGUAGCGGUGAAAUGCGUAGAUAUUAGGAGGAACACCAGUGGCGAAGGCGGCUUUCUGGACUGCAUCUGACGCUGAGGCGCGAAAGCUGGGGGAGCGAACAGGAUUAGAUACCCUGGUAGUCCCAGCCGUAAACGAUGGAUACUAGGUGUGGGGGGUAUCGACCCCUCCCGUGCCGGAGUUAACGCAAUAAGUAUCCCGCCUGGGGAGUACGGUCGCAGAGGGCUGAAACUCAAAGGAAUUGACGGGGGCCCGCACAAGCGGUGGAGUAUGUGGUUUAAUUCGAUGCAACGCG
Molecule: ribosomal RNA, 610 nt
Filed under: uncultured bacterium
Lineage: Bacteria
Description: bacterial SSU rRNA
Rfam family: Bacterial small subunit ribosomal RNA
Source: RNAcentral